UGAAAGGUUUUACUCUUUCUGGCCUCUGUUCUUCAAGUUUGCCUUUGAUUGAUUUCAUGUAGUCUUUGAGGUACUUCUUAUAGGCUUCUUUUGUGAAGCUGGUUUCCUGCAAGUAAUGAGAUCGGUUGAGCAUCCGUCCGACUUCAGCUCAGGUCAUGAUCUC
Leopardus geoffroyi (Geoffroy's cat) is the source of this 163-nucleotide long non-coding RNA. RefSeq lists it as uncharacterized. NCBI's taxonomy places the organism in Eukaryota, Metazoa, Chordata, Mammalia, Carnivora, Felidae. The transcript is spliced from 3 exons. The record is from RefSeq and is a predicted model, not a curated record.